UCCUUGCCUCUCUUCCCGAGGGUAUUCUUGUUCUCGUGGUGGUGUCUUAGAGAGACUCUGGUUUGGUGGUAGUGUGCCUCCUUGAUGCUUUGUAAUUUCAUUUGCCUGUCUGUUUUUCUAUUUUACCUUAGAGAUUGUUAGGUUAUAGUGGAGUGUGCUUCUGGUACCUCUUUAAUUUCCUGAACUUUCUCUUAUACUAUUUUCGUUUUUAUAUCUAUAUAUACUAAUAUAUUUGUCAUUAAAAAACAAUGAGUAUAAAAUUCUUUAAAAAAAGAAAAUGAUUAUGAAGUUUUGUUAUCUUAUGCUUCACUAAGUGUGUCUAAAGGACAAACUCAAUACAUUGGUCAACCGAAGCAACAUUAAUUAGCUAAGUGUUCUAAAGGGGCAAAUACAACUUAUUGAUCAAGGCAAGUGCUAAAAAUAAUUAAUUGUUUUUAACAUUUUAGGAGAUUUAUACACAUUAAGUAUGUUUAAGCGACAAACACAACACAUUGAUUUGCUUAUUUAACCCUAAAAAAUAAUGAAUUUUAACUAUUAGAAUUUUUUUAUGUUACCCCUUCAUUAUGUUUAA
RNAcentral lists this long non-coding RNA (571 nucleotides) under Trifolium pratense (red clover). RNAcentral describes it as "long non-coding RNA (TPRA_LNC003357)". Lineage: Eukaryota; Viridiplantae; Streptophyta; Magnoliopsida; Fabales; Fabaceae. The record is from RNAcentral.